RNAcentral lists this ribosomal RNA (459 nucleotides) under uncultured bacterium. Its description in RNAcentral is "bacterial SSU rRNA". It matches the Rfam family "Bacterial small subunit ribosomal RNA", at positions 28 to 507 of the family's 1533-position model. The record is from RNAcentral.
GACGAACGCUGGCGGCGUGCUUAACACAUGCAAGUCGAGCGGUAAGGCCCUUUUGGGGGUACACGAGCGGCGAACGGGUGAGUAACACGUGGGUGACCUGCCUUCAGCUUCGGGAUAAGCUUGGGAAACUGGGUCUAAUACCGGAUAUGACUUGGCCUCGCAUGGGGUUGGGUGGAAAGUUUUUUCGGCUGGAGAUGGGCCCGCGGCCUAUCAGCUUGUUGGUGGGGUGAUGGCCUACCAAGGCGACGACGGGUAGCCGGCCUGAGAGGGCGACCGGCCACACUGGGACUGAGAUACGGCCCAGACUCCUACGGGAGGCAGCAGUGGGGAAUAUUGGACAAUGGGCGAAAGCCUGAUCCAGCAAUGCCGCGUGAGUGAUGAAGGCCUUAGGGUUGUAAAGCUCUUUUACCCGGGAUGAUAAUGACAGUACCGGGAGAAUAAGCUCCGGCUAACUCCGUG